CCGAUGUGACAGAUAAUGUGAUAGCUUUAAAAUCUAUUUAAGGGGGAUCCCUUCGGA
This 57-nucleotide transfer RNA is filed under the name Pseudoniphargus sp. 1-Basque. RNAcentral's name for it is "tRNA-Leu". Lineage: Eukaryota; Metazoa; Arthropoda; Malacostraca; Amphipoda; Allocrangonyctidae. The record is from RNAcentral.